GGGUGCUCUGGUGAUGUUGUAAAAGGAAAAUGUCAUGUAAAAAAUAUCCUUAAUCCUGCUUUCAAAAUCCUGCAUCUAACAGCCCAUUACAAGAGUUGUACAGCAAACGAUGUCAUAAGUGAUCUGGUUGCUCACUGUUCCUCUGUGGGUAUCAACCUUGUGGUAGAAGACAAGGUAAAAUGGGAGAAUGGAGUCAAGAACUGUAAAGGUGAUGAAGUUGCUGAGAUCAUAGAAGACGAAGAUGCAGUUAACAUUUGUGGAGGAACAAUUAAUUAUGAGGUAAAGUGUUUUUCAUAUACUUAUUUAUAUAUAUAUAUAAAAAAAAAUUCUCUGUUAUCUCAGGGAGGAGAUUUUCAUAAUUUGCCUUAAAUGUGUUGCUCCACUUAGAAGAAACA
This is a long non-coding RNA of Spea bombifrons (plains spadefoot toad), 395 nucleotides long. RefSeq lists it as uncharacterized. The transcript is spliced from 4 exons. The record is from RefSeq and is a predicted model, not a curated record. NCBI's taxonomy places the organism in Eukaryota, Metazoa, Chordata, Amphibia, Anura, Pelobatidae.